This 797-nucleotide ribosomal RNA is filed under the name uncultured Chloroflexota bacterium. RNAcentral describes it as "bacterial SSU rRNA". It matches the Rfam family "Bacterial small subunit ribosomal RNA", at positions 73 to 889 of the family's 1533-position model. Lineage: Bacteria; Bacillati; Chloroflexota. The record is from RNAcentral.
AGAGUAGCAAUACUUUUAGUGGCGAACGGGUGAGUAACGCGUGGGUGACCUGCCCCGAAGUGUGGGAUAACAGCUCGAAAGGGCUGCUAAUACCGCAUGUGGUCUUGGGUUUUAGAACCCCAUUUCUAAAGGCGAAAGCCGCUUCGGGAGGGGCCUGCGUCCCAUCAGCUAGUUGGUAAGGUCACGGCUUACCAAGGCGACGACGGGUAGGGGACCUGAGAGGGUGACCCCCCACACUGGCACUGAAACACGGGCCAGACACCUACGGGUGGCAGCAGUAGGGAAUCUUGCACAAUGGGCGCAAGCCUGAUGCAGCAACGCCGCGUGCGCGAUGAAGGCCUUCGGGUCGUAAAGCGCUUUUCUGGAGGACGAGAAGGGACGGUACUCCAGGAAGAAGGCUCGGCUAACUACGUGCCAGCAGCCGCGGUAAAACGUAGGAGCCUAGCGUUAUCCGAAUUUACUGGGCGUAAAGCGCGUGCAGGCGGCGGGGUAAGUUGGCUGUGAAAUCUCCCGGCUCAACUGGGAGGGGACGGUCAAGACUGCCCGGCUGGAGGUAGGUAGAGGGAGGUGGAAUUCCCGGUGUAGUGGUGAAAUGCGUAGAGAUCGGGAGGAACACCAGUGGCGAAAGCGGCCUCCUGGACCUGACCUGACGCUGAGAGGCGAAAGCUAGGGGAGCGAACGGGAUUAGAAACCCCGGUAGUCCUAGCCGUAAACGAUGUCGACUGGGCGGCGGUGGGGUAAAAGCCAUCGGUGCCGCAGCUAACGCGAUAAGUCGACCGCCUGGGGACUACGGCCGC